UUAACUCAAAUUUGUAUGGAAUUGGAACGUUUGCCUACGUUUGCCGCUAGGGGCGCUGUUCCAACUGUAUACACAAAUUAAGUUA
Molecule: microRNA precursor, 85 nt
Filed under: Bombyx mori (domestic silkworm)
Lineage: Eukaryota; Metazoa; Arthropoda; Insecta; Lepidoptera; Bombycidae
Description: mir-2807 microRNA precursor family
Rfam family: mir-2807 microRNA precursor family
Source: Rfam by way of RNAcentral